GCAUCGAUGAAGAACGCAGCGAAAUGCGAUAAGUAAUGUGAAUUGCAGAAUUCAGUGAAUCAUCGAAUCUUUGAACGCACAUUGCGCCCCCUGGUAUUCCGGGGGGCAUGCCUGUUCGAGCGUCAUUUCACCACUCAAGCCUCGCUUGGUAUUGGGCAACGCGGUCCGCCGCGUGCCUCAAAUCGACCGGCUGGGUCUUCUGUCCCCUAAGCGUUGUGGAAACUAUUCGCUAAAGGGUGUUCGGGAGGCUACGCCGUAAAACAACCCCAUUUCUAAGGUUGACCUCGGAUCAGGUAGGGAUACCCGCUGAACUUAAGCAUAUCAAUAAGCGGAGG
RNAcentral lists this ribosomal RNA (335 nucleotides) under uncultured fungus. RNAcentral describes it as "eukaryotic LSU rRNA". The stretch from base 1 to 125 matches the Rfam family "5.8S ribosomal RNA", at positions 30 to 154 of the family's 154-position model. The record is from RNAcentral. Lineage: Eukaryota; Fungi.